GACGAACGCUGGCGGCGUGCCUAAUACAUGCAAGUAGAACGCUGAAGAGAGGAGCUUGCUCUUCUUGGAUGAGUUGCGAACGGGUGAGUAACGCGUAGGUAACCUGCCUGGUAGCGGGGGAUAACUAUUGGAAACGAUAGCUAAUACCGCAUAAAAUUGGUUAUUGCAUGAUAAUUAAUUGAAAGAUGCAAUUGCAUCACUACCAGAUGGACCUGCGUUGUAUUAGCUAGUUGGUGAGGUAACGGCUCACCAAGGCGACGAUACAUAGCCGACCUGAGAGGGUGAUCGGCCACACUGGGACUGAGACACGGCCCAGACACCUACGGGAGGCAGCAGUAGGGAAUCUUCGGCAAUGGGGGGAACCCUGACCGAGCAACGCCGCGUGAGUGAAGAAGGCUUUCGGAUCGUAAAGCUCUGUUGUAAGAGAAGAACGGGUGUGAGAGUGGAAAGUUCACACUGUGACGGUAUCUUACCAGAAAGGGACGGCUAACUACGUGC
Molecule: ribosomal RNA, 498 nt
Filed under: uncultured Streptococcus sp.
Lineage: Bacteria; Bacillati; Bacillota; Bacilli; Lactobacillales; Streptococcaceae
Description: bacterial SSU rRNA
Rfam family: Bacterial small subunit ribosomal RNA
Source: RNAcentral